Molecule: ribosomal RNA, 292 nt
Filed under: uncultured bacterium
Lineage: Bacteria
Description: partial 16S ribosomal RNA
Rfam family: Bacterial small subunit ribosomal RNA
Source: RNAcentral
GUGUCAGCAGCCGCGGUAAUACGUAGGGGGCUAGCGUUGUCCGGAUUUAUUGGGCGUAAAGAGCGUGUAGGCGGCCAGGUAGGUCCGCUGUGAAAGUCCGAGGCUCAACCUCGGAAUGUCGGCGGAAACCCUCUGGCUAGAGUCCGGAAGAGGAGAGUGGAAUUCCCGGUGUAGCGGUGAAAUGCGCAGAUAUCGGGAAGAACACCCGUGGCGAAGGCGGCUCUCUGGAACGGUACUGACGCUGAGACGCGAAAGCGUGGGGAGCGAACAGGAUUAGAUACCCUGGUAGUCC